Molecule: long non-coding RNA, 1234 nt
Organism: Bos taurus (domestic cattle)
Lineage: Eukaryota; Metazoa; Chordata; Mammalia; Artiodactyla; Bovidae
Source: Ensembl
UAGUAUGCCCAGAGCCUGUACUCUACUACAAGAGGAGCCACAAUGAGGCCAGGCAUGGCAACUAUAGAGUAACCCCCGCCCCCUGCAACUAGCGAAAAGCGCGCGCAGCAAUAAAAGACGCAGCAUAGUCAAAUAAAAAAAUAUUUUUAAAGAAACUGUGUUGUGUCCCAUCACCAAUACUACAUAGAAUAGAAAUGAAAAGCCACUAUUAUGUAAUCUUUAACUUGCAAAGAGAUUCUCUGGAUGAGAGGAUGUUAUCAGAGUUACAUUGUGCUGCUUUAAAGGUAGAGAAUACUUAUUGUUCCCCAAAGCAGUCAUAUACAUGGAUGUCCCUUGUGUGUGGUUUGGAGUCUGGACCUUAGCCUUGUGCCUCUCAUGAAGGGAUCAAAGCCUGCGCAGAGGCAGUCUCAAGUCUGAACACACUCAGUUCCCCCAUUCCUUAUUUUUCUUAUGUGGUCUGGAUUUCCAGGAGGGUGAUGACUAACAGUACUGCUAGAUUUAUGUAAAAGUACAGGACACUAGCUAUAUUCCAAGUUCAAACAAUUUUAGUAUAGGGGACAUACAUAUACUAAAAAAUUAUUCGUUUAUCGGAAACUCGAAUUAGACGUUCUGUGAAUCUUAAUUGGCAGCCCCUGCUUAUUUUUUCUUCGCACCGAUUUAACUUCACAGAAAAGUCUCAAAAUGGGAGGCAAAAGAAAUUCGCCUGGCCCCAAAGAAGAUGGAGCUCAGGGUAGUCGGCCUUUUCCCAAACUUGGCCUUUAAAAAAAAAAAAACCCACCCACAAGUCUCAGGAGCCUGCGCAUUAAAGCGGGCAGUGCAGCAGCUUUCCCGCCGGUUUUCUGCGGAAUGUGGCGCAGCGGCCACGCCGCGGGGUGGAGCGCAUGUUGCGGUGUCCUUGCCGGAUGCGAAAGGAGGUGCCAGAAACUUUAAACCUCAGCCAGAGUACAACGUGUCCACUUAGACGGCGGUGCUGCUACUAGUGAAAUGACAAACCAAAAGCAGGGAGAGGGAAGUCAGCCAUGGGCCAGGCUGGCCCACUGCCGGAGCGCUGGUUGGAGUGGUCUCUUGUUCCUGCCUCGUCGUCUCUCCUCUGCCCGGCCUCUGUCUGGGGUUAUUCCCCACACCCCCAUGUUGCCGCUGCUUCUCUUUUCACCAGCGGUCUUCUCUCCAGCUCCCCUCUUCUCUGAUGGGAGCUGGCACUGGCCCAGGUUAGCAAGAGGAAAAUGGACAUUCC